Molecule: long non-coding RNA, 437 nt
Organism: Sinocyclocheilus anshuiensis
Lineage: Eukaryota; Metazoa; Chordata; Actinopteri; Cypriniformes; Cyprinidae
Exons: 3
Source: RefSeq, a predicted model, not a curated record
GUGCACUGCUUCAUGGUAUUUCAGCUGUGAUUUCUCCAAACUGUUUUCCAGAAUGCGCAGUUUCUGUUCAACAGGCAAAGGACUACUGUUCUGUGGCUUAAAUAUCAGGAACUUCAAGUCCUCUAAAUGCUGCCUCUGUGUCUUAGUGGUGUGUUUCAUAGCAUUCUGCUUCUUCAUUUUAUCACACACCUGCUUCUUCAGCACCGUCUGAGUUGCCUGCACAACAAAGACCUCUGUCAAUAGUGAGGAGAGUCUAAAACAACUUUCUGGACCACAAAUUAUAUGCAGGUUUGCAUUCCCAAGUCUCAGCUGCAGGAUAGUUUCUAUGUUCUUGGCAGACUGAGAGUUUUCGAUAUGUGCUAUCGAAUAGUCUCCAUCUAGUGGACAGUGGGGAAAAAAAACAAUUCAUCGAGCAAAAUGUGAAGUUGAGUGUAAUG